This 253-nucleotide ribosomal RNA is filed under the name uncultured Rhodospirillales bacterium. Its description in RNAcentral is "partial 16S ribosomal RNA". It matches the Rfam family "Bacterial small subunit ribosomal RNA", at positions 524 to 776 of the family's 1533-position model. The record is from RNAcentral. Lineage: Bacteria; Pseudomonadati; Pseudomonadota; Alphaproteobacteria; Rhodospirillales.
UACGAAGGGGGCUAGCGUUGCUCGGAAUCACUGGGCGUAAAGGGCGCGUAGGCGGCGGACUUAGUCGGGCGUGAAAUCCCCGGGCUCAACCCGGGGGCUGCGCCCGAUACGGGUCCGCUGGAGGACGGGAGAGGCUCGCGGAAUUCCCAGUGUAGAGGUGAAAUGCGUAGAUAUUGGGAAGAACACCGGUGGCGAAGGCGGCGAGCUGGCCCGUUUCUGACGCUGAGGCGCGACAGCGUGGGGAGCAAACAGG